Molecule: ribosomal RNA, 687 nt
Filed under: Sarcodon imbricatus
Lineage: Eukaryota; Fungi; Basidiomycota; Agaricomycetes; Thelephorales; Thelephoraceae
Description: eukaryotic LSU rRNA
Rfam family: 5.8S ribosomal RNA (bases 277-430)
Source: RNAcentral
AGGAAGUAAAAGUCGUAACAAGGUUUCCGUAGGUGAACCUGCGGAAGGAUCAUUAAUGAAACAAACCGUCGUGAAGGGUUGUUGCUGGCCUUUCUGGGGGCAUGUGCACACUCGGAUCGUUCAUCCUUCUUACACCCUGUGCACAACCUGUAGCUUGGGAUGAUCACGGGAGAGUGUUAACGUUGGUGUUGCAACUCCUGAAUGCCCUUGCUAUGAAUGUUAUAUACACAAAGUAUCUUAGAAUGUUAAAUGGCGUGUAACAGCGCAAAUAAAUACAACUUUCAGCAACGGAUCUCUUGGCUCUCGCAUCGAUGAAGAACGCAGCGAAAUGCGAUAAGUAAUGUGAAUUGCAGAAUUCAGUGAAUCAUCGAAUCUUUGAACGCACCUUGCGCUCCUUGGUAUUCCGAGGAGCAUGCCUGUUUGAGUGUCAUGAAAUUCUCAACUGCUUCAACUUUUUGUUGGAGUGAAGUUGGACUUGGAGGAUCAUUGCUGGCGUAAGUGUAUGCUUACUUGUUGGCUCCUCUUAAAAUUAUGAAACCUUUCCGGUAGAUCUUUGACGUGAUAACUAUCUAUGUCGGGUCCCCUACCAUAAGGAAAACGGUUUAUGAAGCCAUCUUUGUUGACCAAAUUCGACCUCAAAUCAGGUAGGACUACCCGCUGAACUUAAGCAUAUCAAUAAGCGGAGGA